RNAcentral lists this ribosomal RNA (560 nucleotides) under Leuconostoc pseudomesenteroides. RNAcentral's name for it is "bacterial SSU rRNA". It matches the Rfam family "Bacterial small subunit ribosomal RNA", at positions 109 to 657 of the family's 1533-position model. Lineage: Bacteria; Bacillati; Bacillota; Bacilli; Lactobacillales; Lactobacillaceae. The record is from RNAcentral.
AGUAACACGUGGACAACCUGCCUCAAGGCUGGGGAUAACAUUUGGAAACAGAUGCUAAUACCGAAUGAAACUUAGUGUCGCAUGACACGAAGUUAAAAGGCGCUUUGGCGUCACCUAGAGAUGGAUCCGCGGUGCAUUAGUUAGUUGGUGGGGUAAAGGCCUACCAAGACAAUGAUGCAUAGCCGAGUUGAGAGACUGAUCGGCCACAUUGGGACUGAGACACGGCCCAAACUCCUACGGGAGGCUGCAGUAGGGAAUCUUCCACAAUGGGCGAAAGCCUGAUGGAGCAACGCCGCGUGUGUGAUGAAGGCUUUCGGGUCGUAAAGCACUGUUGUAUGGGAAGAACAGCUAGAAUAGGGAAUGAUUUUAGUUUGACGGUACCAUACCAGAAAGGGACGGCUAAAUACGUGCCAGCAGCCGCGGUAAUACGUAUGUCCCGAGCGUUAUCCGGAUUUAUUGGGCGUAAAGCGAGCGCAGACGGUUGAUUAAGUCUGAUGUGAAAGCCCGGAGCUCAACUCCGGAAUGGCAUUGGAAACUGGUUAACUUGAGUGCAGUAGAGG